GGGAAUAUUGCACAAUGGGGGAAACCCUGAUGCAGCAACGCCGCGUGAAGGAAGACGGUUUUCGGGUUGUAAACUUCUUUUAUCAGGGACGAAAGCAAUGACGGUACCUGAUGAAUAAGCCACGGCUAACUACGUGCCAGCAGCCGCGGUAAUACGUAGGUGGCAAGCGUUAUCCGGAUUUACUGGGUGUAAAGGGCGUGUAGGCGGGACUGCAAGUCAGAUGUGAAAAUUAUGGGCUCAACCCAUAACCUGCAUUUGAAACUGUAGUUCUUGAGUGAUGGAGAGGCAGGCGGAAUUCCGUGUGUAGCGGUGAAAUGCGUAGAUAUACGGAGGAACACCAGUGGCGAAGGCGGCCUGCUGGACAUUAACUGACGCUGAGGCGCGAAAGCGUGGGGAGCAAACAGG
RNAcentral lists this ribosomal RNA (405 nucleotides) under uncultured bacterium. RNAcentral describes it as "bacterial SSU rRNA". It matches the Rfam family "Bacterial small subunit ribosomal RNA", at positions 357 to 776 of the family's 1533-position model. The record is from RNAcentral.